GCACUGUUGAAGAGUCCCACAAUAGGACGAAACAUCUUCCAGUAU
Schistosoma mansoni is the source of this 45-nucleotide non-coding RNA. Lineage: Eukaryota; Metazoa; Platyhelminthes; Trematoda; Strigeidida; Schistosomatidae. The record is from Rfam.